CUCCUGCCUAUGUGGCAGACAAUAGCUGGGCUUUAACUGCUGCGCAGAACGUGACAGCCUUUUAUUUCUGCUUAAAACUCGCAUGAUCGACCCUAACAAACGGCUGCGAUUUACUUUUGUCCUUCUGCCGGGUUGCUGAGCUUUUGGGCUGUUUCAAGUUGGUGGUAACCGAGGGCUGGGAGUCCUGGCAACCUUCCCGCUGCCCCCAGUUUCACUCCAACUUGAAACUGUUGCCUUUCGGUUUGGGUGGGAAUUCGGCGCCCAUCCUGUUAAGUUUCCUUUUCUUGGCUGGAUCCAGCAGAGGAGCUUUCUUAAAGCAGGGACACAAAGAGCAGGGUUAGGCUGCCACGAACGUCAGCGACAGACAGCGGCUGCCUUUAAAGGAAACGAGCCCCUGGCUCUUCUGCCUGGACCUAAAAUUGCUUCUGGCUGAGCCCAAGUUCUUAAAACUUUAAAAAAAAACAACCCAAAAGAGCUUUGUUCCUCCUCUCCUGCAACCACCACCUCUCUAACAGUUGAUCAGCUGGAGUUCAGCAAAGCAGGGCAGCAGGACUUGAAAUGCUUUCAAAGUCUGCUUGGAACAAAAAGCUGAGUGUCUUUUUUUUUUUUUUUUUAGGAGAAAUAAGAGCGGCUGUGCUGAAAAAAUAAAAAUGCUGAAACGAAGUCAACAGCUCUUUUGUUCUUCCUCUCCAUAUUCUGGGUAGUUCAAUCCCUGAGCUGGUGUUUCCCAUCCUCAGGGGGACACAGAGGAAGGCAGGAGAGUCCUCGCUUCUCCAUCCUCUCUCCUAACACUGCUGCCACCUGGGACUGCCUUGUGGGGAGGGAGAGGAAAGAAUGAUCCAGAGAAUGUGAUCGUAACUCAGCUGGAUCAGCUGUGCAGCCAGAGGCAGCCAGACAGCGAAGCUGUUUGGAGUUGACUUUUCCCAUCUGUGUCCUCAGCUCCUCUCUCCUUGCAUCUCACCAUGACUGAGAGGAUUUGAGGUUCAUCUGCUCCCCUGGCAGAACUGGACAGCAUGCCUUCAUGCACCAGCAU
Calidris pugnax (ruff) is the source of this 1033-nucleotide long non-coding RNA. RefSeq lists it as uncharacterized. The record is from RefSeq and is a predicted model, not a curated record. The transcript has 3 exons. Lineage: Eukaryota; Metazoa; Chordata; Aves; Charadriiformes; Scolopacidae.